GUCAGUGUCAUCUAGUGGUUAGGACGCGAGCUUCACACGCUCGAGAUCGAGGGUUCGAUCCCCUCCUCUGAUA
This 73-nucleotide transfer RNA is filed under the name Phytophthora megakarya. It matches the Rfam family "tRNA". Rfam says of the family: Transfer RNA (tRNA) molecules are approximately 80 nucleotides in length. Their secondary structure includes four short double-helical elements and three loops (D, anti-codon, and T loops). The record is from Rfam by way of RNAcentral. Lineage: Eukaryota; Oomycota; Peronosporomycetes; Peronosporales; Peronosporaceae.